RNAcentral lists this ribosomal RNA (372 nucleotides) under uncultured bacterium. Its description in RNAcentral is "bacterial SSU rRNA". It matches the Rfam family "Bacterial small subunit ribosomal RNA", at positions 32 to 413 of the family's 1533-position model. The record is from RNAcentral.
AACGCUGGCGGCGUGGAUAAGGCAUGCAAGCCAAACGGGUCAUUUGCGAUUACAUCAAGAAUGACUAGUGGCAGACGGGGUAGUAACACGUAGGAACUCACCCAAGAGACGGGGAUAACUCCGCGAAAGCGGAGCUAAUACCCGAUAGCAUCGUAAGAUUAAAACACUUAGAUUGGCUCUUGGAGAGGCCUGCGGGCUAUCAGCUAGUUGGCGGGGUAAUGGCCCACCAAGGCUACGACGGCUAGGGGGAGUGAGAGCUUGGCCCCCACCAAUGGAACUGCGACACGGUCCAUACACCUACGGGUGGCAGCAGCCGAGAAUAUUCGACAAUGGGCGAAAGCCUGAUCGAGCGACGCCGCGUGCAGGACGAAA